GUCUUUUUGAGUUAUUUUUAAAGUCUGACCUGCCCACUGAAAUUAUUUAAAUGGCCGCAGUAUUCUAACUGUGCAAAGGUAGCAUAAUCAUUAGUCUUUUAAUUGAAGGCUGGUAUGAACGGUUGGACGAGGUAUAAGCUGUUUCAUAUAAAUUUAUAAUAGAAUUUUAUAUUUUAGUCAAAAAGCUAAAAUUUAAUUAAAAGACGAGAAGACCCUAUAAAUCUUUAUAUUUUAUGUUAUUUAAAUUUUUUAGAUUAAUUUUAUUUUUAUAACUUAAAGUAUUUUGUUGGGGUGAUAUUAAAAUUUAAUGAACUUUUAAUUGUUAAAAAUCAUUAAUUUAUGAGUUAUUGAUCCAUUAAUAGUGAUUAUAAGAUUAAGUUACUUUAGGGAUAACAGCGUAAUUUUUUUGGAGAGUUCAUAUCGAUAAAAAAGUUUGCGACCUCGAUGUUGGAUUAAGAUAUAUUUUUAGGUGUAGCCGCUUAAAUGUUAAGUCUGUUCGACUUUUAAAUUCUU
Molecule: ribosomal RNA, 513 nt
Filed under: Bactrocera kraussi
Lineage: Eukaryota; Metazoa; Arthropoda; Insecta; Diptera; Tephritidae
Description: partial 16S ribosomal RNA
Rfam family: Bacterial large subunit ribosomal RNA (bases 389-513)
Source: RNAcentral